This 1412-nucleotide ribosomal RNA is filed under the name Staphylococcus aureus. Its description in RNAcentral is "partial 23S ribosomal RNA". It matches the Rfam family "Bacterial large subunit ribosomal RNA", at positions 149 to 1559 of the family's 2925-position model. Lineage: Bacteria; Bacillati; Bacillota; Bacilli; Caryophanales; Staphylococcaceae. The record is from RNAcentral.
UAUCGAUAUGUGAAUACAUAGCAUAUCAGAAGGCACACCCGGAGAACUGAAACAUCUUAGUACCCGGAGGAAGAGAAAGAAAAUUCGAUUCCCUUAGUAGCGGCGAGCGAAACGGGAAGAGCCCAAACCAACAAGCUUGCUUGUUGGGGUUGUAGGACACUCUAUACGGAGUUACAAAGGACGACAUUAGACGAAUCAUCUGGAAAGAUGAAUCAAAGAAGGUAAUAAUCCUGUAGUCGAAAAUGUUGUCUCUCUUGAGUGGAUCCUGAGUACGACGGAGCACGUGAAAUUCCGUCGGAAUCUGGGAGGACCAUCUCCUAAGGCUAAAUACUCUCUAGUGACCGAUAGUGAACCAGUACCGUGAGGGAAAGGUGAAAAGCACCCCGGAAGGGGAGUGAAAUAGAACCUGAAACCGUGUGCUUACAAGUAGUCAGAGCCCGUUAAUGGGUGAUGGCGUGCCUUUUGUAGAAUGAACCGGCGAGUUACGAUUUGAUGCAAGGUUAAGCAGUAAAUGUGGAGCCGUAGCGAAAGCGAGUCUGAAUAGGGCGUUUAGUAUUUGGUCGUAGACCCGAAACCAGGUGAUCUACCCUUGGUCAGGUUGAAGUUCAGGUAACACUGAAUGGAGGACCGAACCGACUUACGUUGAAAAGUGAGCGGAUGAACUGAGGGUAGCGGAGAAAUUCCAAUCGAACCUGGAGAUAGCUGGUUCUCUCCGAAAUAGCUUUAGGGCUAGCCUCAAGUGAUGAUUAUUGGAGGUAGAGCACUGUUUGGACGAGGGGCCCCUCUCGGGUUACCGAAUUCAGACAAACUCCGAAUGCCAAUUAAUUUAACUUGGGAGUCAGAACAUGGGUGAUAAGGUCCGUGUUCGAAAGGGAAACAGCCCAGACCACCAGCUAAGGUCCCAAAAUAUAUGUUAAGUGGAAAAGGAUGUGGCGUUGCCCAGACAACUAGGAUGUUGGCUUAGAAGCAGCCAUCAUUUAAAGAGUGCGUAAUAGCUCACUAGUCGAGUGACACUGCGCCGAAAAUGUACCGGGGCUAAACAUAUUACCGAAGCUGUGGAUUGUCCUUUGGACAAUGGUAGGAGAGCGUUCUAAGGGCGUUGAAGCAUGAUCGUAAGGACAUGUGGAGCGCUUAGAAGUGAGAAUGCCGGUGUGAGUAGCGAAAGACGGGUGAGAAUCCCGUCCACCGAUUGACUAAGGUUUCCAGAGGAAGGCUCGUCCGCUCUGGGUUAGUCGGGUCCUAAGCUGAGGCCGACAGGCGUAGGCGAUGGAUAACAGGUUGAUAUUCCUGUACCACCUAUAAUCGUUUUAAUCGAUGGGGGGACGCAGUAGGAUAGGCGAAGCGUGCGAUUGGAUUGCACGUCUAAGCAGUAAGGCUGAGUAUUAGGCAAAUCCGGUACUCGUUAAGGCUGA